UACGUAGGGGGCAAGCGUUGUCCGGAUUUAUUGGGCGUAAAGAGCGUGUAGGCGGCCAUACAGGUCAGCUGUGAAAACUCGAGGCUCAACCUCGAGACGUCGGUUGAAACCGUAUGGCUAGAGUCCGGAAGAGGAGAGUGGAAUUCCCGGUGUAGCGGUGAAAUGCGCAGAUAUCGGGAAGAACACCAGUGGCGAAGGCGGCUCUCUGGGACGGUACUGACGCUGAGACGCGAAAGCGUGGGGAGCGAGCAGG
This 253-nucleotide ribosomal RNA is filed under the name uncultured bacterium. RNAcentral's name for it is "partial 16S ribosomal RNA". It matches the Rfam family "Bacterial small subunit ribosomal RNA", at positions 524 to 776 of the family's 1533-position model. The record is from RNAcentral.